RNAcentral lists this unclassified non-coding RNA (395 nucleotides) under Hevea brasiliensis (rubber tree). Lineage: Eukaryota; Viridiplantae; Streptophyta; Magnoliopsida; Malpighiales; Euphorbiaceae. The record is from RNAcentral.
AAUUUUACAUGAACUGGAAAAAUUCCCUGUUCACUCGCUUGGACUUCCAUCCCUUCUUUCUGACCCUGGGGCCAAGACGCCAGAGGAGGCAUUAGUUCACAUAUUUAGUGAAGCAAGGAGAACAACUCCGUCAAUACUCUAUUUACCUCAUUUCCAUCUUUGGUGGGAGAAUGCACACGAGCAGCUCAAAGCUGUUCUCAGGACGCUGUUAGAAGAGCUCCCAUCUGACCUGCCUAUACUAUUAUUUGGGACUUCCUCAGUACCACUUUCUGAUCUACCUGAUGAGCCUUCUUCAGUAUUUUCACACCAUAGCAUCUUAUGUUUGGAUUCUCCAUCAGAUGAAGACAGAUCUCUGUUCUUUGAUCGUCUUAUAGAAGCUGCUUUGUCUAUCCAAG